GCACUGCUAAAGAAUCCCAUAAUAGGAUGAAACGGCCGUCCAGUGU
This 46-nucleotide non-coding RNA is filed under the name Schistosoma mansoni. The record is from RNAcentral. Lineage: Eukaryota; Metazoa; Platyhelminthes; Trematoda; Strigeidida; Schistosomatidae.